GGUCUUAUAUUCAAUAAUGAUAUAAAAUUGCAAAUUUUAAGGAAUAUAAAAUUAUAUUAAGGCUU
This 65-nucleotide transfer RNA is filed under the name Lymantria xylina. RNAcentral describes it as "tRNA-Cys". Lineage: Eukaryota; Metazoa; Arthropoda; Insecta; Lepidoptera; Erebidae. The record is from RNAcentral.